RNAcentral lists this transfer RNA (90 nucleotides) under Methylotenera sp. Its description in RNAcentral is "tRNA-Ser". It matches the Rfam family "tRNA". From Rfam's summary of the family: Transfer RNA (tRNA) molecules are approximately 80 nucleotides in length. Their secondary structure includes four short double-helical elements and three loops (D, anti-codon, and T loops). Lineage: Bacteria; Pseudomonadati; Pseudomonadota; Betaproteobacteria; Nitrosomonadales; Methylophilaceae. The record is from RNAcentral.
GGAAAAUUGGGGGAGAGGCUUAACCCAUCAUCUUGGAAAGGUGACGGCCCUUAACAGGGCCCGCGAGUUCGAAUCUCGCAUUUUCCGCAA